UCCAGUAUAUCACUGGCAGUCCCCCUAGAGUGCCCAACUAAAUGAUGGCAACUAAGGGCGAGGGUUGCGCUCGUUGCGGGACUUAACCCAACAUCUCACGACACGAGCUGACGACAGCCAUGCAGCACCUGUGUCCCCGGCUCCGAAGAGAAGAAACCAUCUCUGGUAUCCGUCCGAGGCAUGUCAAAAGCUGGUAAAGUUCUGCGCGUUGCUUCGAAUUAAACCACAUGUUCCACCGCUUGUGCGGGCCCCCGUCAAUUCCUUUGAGUUUCAGCCUUGCGGCCGUACUCCCCAGGCGGAGUGCUUAAUGCGUUUGCUGCAGCACUAAAGGGCGGAAACCCUCUAACACUUAGCACUCAUCGUUUACGGCGUGGACUAC
This 379-nucleotide unclassified non-coding RNA is filed under the name uncultured bacterium. Its description in RNAcentral is "contains 16S-23S intergenic spacer region". The record is from RNAcentral.